RNAcentral lists this ribosomal RNA (173 nucleotides) under uncultured bacterium. RNAcentral describes it as "partial 16S ribosomal RNA". It matches the Rfam family "Bacterial small subunit ribosomal RNA", at positions 340 to 505 of the family's 1533-position model. The record is from RNAcentral.
UACGGGAGGCAGCAGUGGGGAAUAUUGGACAAUGGGCGCAAGCCUGAUCCAGCCAUACCGCGUGGGUGAAGAAGGCCUUCGGGUUGUAAAGCCCUUUUGUUGGGAAAGAAAUCCAGCCGAUUAAUACUCGAUGGGGAUGACGGUACCCAAAGAAUAAGCACCGGCUAACUUCG